GACGAACGCUGGCGGCGUGCUUAACACAUGCAAGUCGAACGGAAAGGCCCUGCUUUUGUGGGGUGCUCGAGUGGCAAACGGGUGAGUAACACGUGAGUAACCUGCCCUUGACUUUGGGAUAACUUCAGGAAACUGGGGCUAAUACCGGAUAGGAGCUCCUGCUGCAUGGUGGGGGUUGGAAAGUUUCGGCGGUUGGGGAUGGACUCGCGGCUUAUCAGCUUGUUGGUGGGGUAGUGGCUUACCAAGGCUUUGACGGGUAGCCGGCCUGAGAGGGUGACCGGCCACAUUGGGACUGAGAUACGGCCCAGACUCCUACGGGAGGCAGCAGUGGGGAAUAUUGCACAAUGGGCGGAAGCCUGAUGCAGCAACGCCGCGUGCGGGAUGACGGCCUUCGGGUUGUAAACCGCUUUCGCCUGUGACGAAGCGUGAGUGACGGUAAUGGGUAAAGAAGCACCGGCUAACUACGUGCCAGCAGCCGCGGUGAUACGUAGGGUGCGAGCGUUGUCCGGAUUUAUUGGGCGUAAAGGGCUCGUAGGUGGUUGAUCGCGUCGGAAGUGUAAUCUUGGGGCUUAACCCUGAGCGUGCUUUCGAUACGGGUUGACUUGAGGAAGGUAGGGGAGAAUGGAAUUCCUGGUGGAGCGGUGGAAUGCGCAGAUAUCAGGAGGAACACCAGUGGCGAAGGCGGUUCUCUGGGCCUUUCCUGACGCUGAGGAGCGAAAGCGUGGGGAGCGAACAGGCUUAGAUACCCUGGUAGUCCACGCUGUAAACGGUGGGUACUAGGUGUGGGGUCCAUUCCACGGGUUCCGUGCCGUAGCUAACGCUUUAAGUACCCCGCCUGGGGAGUACGGCCGCAAGGCUAAAACUCAAAGGAAUUGACGGGGCCCCGCACAAGCGGCGGAGCAUGCGGAUUAAUUCGAUGCAACGCGUAGAACCUUACCUGGGUUUGACAUGGAUCGGGAGCGCUCAGAGAUGGGUGUGCCUCUUUUGGGGUCGGUUCACAGGUGGUGCAUGGCUGUCGUCAGCUCGUGUCGUGAGAUGUUGGGUUAAGUCCCGCAACGAGCGCAACCCUUGUUCACUGUUGCCAGCACGUUAUGGUGGGGACUCAGUGGAGACCGCCGGGGUCAACUCGGAGGAAGGUGGGGAUGACGUCAAGUCAUCAUGCCCCUUAUGUCCAGGGCUUCACGCAUGCUACAAUGGCUGGUACAGAGAGUGGCGAGCCUGUGAGGGUGAGCGAAUCUCGGAAAGCCGGUCUCAGUUCGGAUUGGGGUCUGCAACUCGACCUCAUGAAGUCGGAGUCGCUAGUAAUCGCAGAUCAGCAACGCUGCGGUGAAUACGUUCCCGGG
RNAcentral lists this ribosomal RNA (1343 nucleotides) under uncultured bacterium. RNAcentral's name for it is "16S ribosomal RNA". It matches the Rfam family "Bacterial small subunit ribosomal RNA", at positions 28 to 1378 of the family's 1533-position model. The record is from RNAcentral.